Molecule: ribosomal RNA, 927 nt
Filed under: Arthrobacter sp. DAB_ATA187
Lineage: Bacteria; Bacillati; Actinomycetota; Actinomycetes; Micrococcales; Micrococcaceae
Description: bacterial SSU rRNA
Rfam family: Bacterial small subunit ribosomal RNA
Source: RNAcentral
CUAUCCGGAAUUAUUGGGCGUAAAGAGCUCGUAGGCGGUUUGUCGCGUCUGCCGUGAAAGUCCGGGGCUUAACUCCGGAUCUGCGGUGGGUACGGGCAGACUAGAGUGCAGUAGGGGAGACUGGAAUUCCUGGUGUAGCGGUGAAAUGCGCAGAUAUCAGGAGGAACACCGAUGGCGAAGGCAGGUCUCUGGGCUGUAACUGACGCUGAGGAGCGAAAGCAUGGGGAGCGAACAGGAUUAGAUACCCUGGUAGUCCAUGCCGUAAACGUUGGGCACUAGGUGUGGGGGACAUUCCACGUUUUCCGCGCCGUAGCUAACGCAUUAAGUGCCCCGCCUGGGGAGUACGGCCGCAAGGCUAAAACUCAAAGGAAUUGACGGGGGCCCGCACAAGCGGCGGAGCAUGCGGAUUAAUUCGAUGCAACGCGAAGAACCUUACCAAGGCUUGACAUGAACCGGAAUGAUGCAGAGAUGUGUCAGCCACUUGUGGCCGGUUUACAGGUGGUGCAUGGUUGUCGUCAGCUCGUGUCGUGAGAUGUUGGGUUAAGUCCCGCAACGAGCGCAACCCUCGUUCCAUGUUGCCAGCGGGUUAUGCCGGGGACUCAUGGGAGACUGCCGGGGUCAACUCGGAGGAAGGUGGGGACGACGUCAAAUCAUCAUGCCCCUUAUGUCUUGGGCUUCACGCAUGCUACAAUGGCCGGUACAAAGGGUUGCGAUACUGUGAGGUGGAGCUAAUCCCAAAAAGCCGGUCUCAGUUCGGAUUGAGGUCUGCAACUCGACCUCAUGAAGUUGGAGUCGCUAGUAAUCGCAGAUCAGCAACGCUGCGGUGAAUACGUUCCCGGGCCUUGUACACACCGCCCGUCAAGUCACGAAAGUUGGUAACACCCGAAGCCGGUGGCCUAACCCCUUGUGGGAGGGAGCCGUCGAAGG